GCCCGGUUAGCUCAAUCGGUAGAGCGUGAGACUCUUAAUCUCAAGGCUGCGGGUUCGACCCCCGCAUUGGGCU
This is a transfer RNA of 73 nucleotides. It matches the Rfam family "tRNA". From Rfam's summary of the family: Transfer RNA (tRNA) molecules are approximately 80 nucleotides in length. The record is from Rfam.